UCGACGGCAGCACAGGAGAGCUUGCUCUCUGGGUGGCGAGUGGCGGACGGGUGAGGAAUACAUCGGAAUCUACCUUUUCGUGGGGGAUAACGUAGGGAAACUUACGCUAAUACCGCAUACGACCUACGGGUGAAAGUGGGGGACCGCAAGGCCUCACGCGAUUAGAUGAGCCGAUGUCCGAUUAGCUAGUUGGCGGGGUAAUGGCCCACCAAGGCGACGAUCGGUAGCUGGUCUGAGAGGAUGAUCAGCCACACUGGAACUGAGACACGGUCCAGACUCCUACGGGAGGCAGCAGUGGGGAAUAUUGGACAAUGGGCGCAAGCCUGAUCCAGCCAUACCGCGUGGGUGAAGAAGGCCUUCGGGUUGUAAAGCCCUUUUGUUGGGAAAGAAAUCCUGUCGAUUAAUACUCGGUGGGGAUGACGGUACCCAAAGAAUAAGCACCGGCUAACUUCGUGCCAGCAGCCGCGGUAAUACGAAGGGUGCAAGCGUUACUCGGAAUUACUGGGCGUAAAGCGUGCGUAGGUGGUGGUUUAAGUCUGCUGUGAAAGCCCUGGGCUCAACCUGGGAAUUGCAGUGGAUACUGGAUCACUAGAGUGUGGUAGAGGGAUGCGGAAUUUCUGGUGUAGCAGUGAAAUGCGUAAAGAUCAGAAGGAACAUCCGUGGCGAAGGCGGCAUCCUGGGCCAACACUGACACUGAGGCACGAAAGCGUGGGGA
RNAcentral lists this ribosomal RNA (715 nucleotides) under uncultured bacterium. Its description in RNAcentral is "bacterial SSU rRNA". It matches the Rfam family "Bacterial small subunit ribosomal RNA", at positions 62 to 767 of the family's 1533-position model. The record is from RNAcentral.